RNAcentral lists this long non-coding RNA (259 nucleotides) under Zostera marina. RNAcentral describes it as "long non-coding RNA (ZMAR_LNC005626)". The record is from RNAcentral. Lineage: Eukaryota; Viridiplantae; Streptophyta; Magnoliopsida; Alismatales; Zosteraceae.
CCAAAACCAGUGAGACUUCCAGAUGGUAACCACCUCUUCGAUGGGCACAUUCUUGGUCUCCGGGAGAAAGAAGAAGAUGAAGGUGGUCAUGAUGACCACCCAUCCACCGAAGAAGUAAAACAAUCCGAAUUUCAGAUGACAGAGCAUCGUCAAGAAUAUCUGUGCGAUCAAGAAAGUGAAGAACAUGUUAACUGACACAUUGAUACUCUGUCCUGCAGAUCUGAUCUCUAAAGGGAAGAUCUCCGACGGCACAAGCCAU